Molecule: long non-coding RNA, 452 nt
Organism: Coccinella septempunctata (seven-spotted ladybird)
Lineage: Eukaryota; Metazoa; Arthropoda; Insecta; Coleoptera; Coccinellidae
Exons: 2
Source: RefSeq, a predicted model, not a curated record
UCGUUUGAAAUUCACAAUAAACAAAUAUCCAAAAGUCACUAUUCAACGCAUUUUAGAAAAUUAAAAAAAAAUAUCGCUACUGAAUUAUUAUUCUCCGCGAAUUAAAGCUGAUACCAUUCGGAUUCUGAUUAAUAAUUCUAUCUAUUAAAAAAUUAUCGAAAUCAGUUACUUAUGGGGCAUAAACCGCAUUGAAGCCAGAUGGUUGAGAAUUAACACCAAAAUAAAUCAAAUGAGCACCUUCGAAAAAGUAUGAAAAUAGAUUAAUUUCAAAAUAACUAACAGUGAAUUAAGAACAUGCAUCAUGCAGGUAACAUGUGAUGAAUAAUGGUCAUAUUAUUACUUGUGAUGAAACACGUCCCGCUGCAACAAGGAAUCCAUCAUCUAUUAAUUUAUAGGACAUGAAGGUAUAAUUGCUACAAGAUAACUGAAAAUAACGUAUAUUAGAUGACAAA